This is a long non-coding RNA of Capsicum annuum, 613 nucleotides long. RefSeq lists it as uncharacterized. The record is from RefSeq and is a predicted model, not a curated record. The transcript is spliced from 2 exons. Lineage: Eukaryota; Viridiplantae; Streptophyta; Magnoliopsida; Solanales; Solanaceae.
CUGCUUAUUUUCUGUGCAGAAUUCUAACGUUACCCCAACUCCGUUUUGUAUAUUAACUGAAACUCAAUUUAUAUUAGAUGCACCAUUGCCUCCCCAUCAGCGGCAUGCUCGAAGAACAAAACCUAGCAAAAAAAAGCUUAGCUUCACUAUAAAUUUAAAACUACAUUAAUUAAUUAGCUCUUUUGCAAGCUUAUAUCCCCUCUCUUGCAACUAAUAUGCACAGGUUGUAGGUUAUACGUUACGAAAUUCAUGUUGUUGCAAUAUAAACCAACUCCCCAAUAAUGUGAACAUUUUAAAAAAUGUCCAUGUAAAUAUUGUAAAAAAGAUUUGAAUAUGAACCAUCAGGAUUUUGUCAAAAAGUUUCAAGUGUGUAAAAAUAUUAAUUCGGUCAGCUACUGCAGAUAAUAAUGAUGACCAAUCAACUUAUAAUGUUGUCUAUAAUGAAAUCAUUCAAAAAACUUUGUUGUAAACAUAUUCAUGUCAUCUUUACAUUUUGAAAAGAGUUACCUUGAAAUAUCUCCUAACUUACUAUGAUAUCCCAGACACCUAUGUCUAUUAAAUUACUUGUAAUGUCUAACGUGGCAUACACCAUCUAUCAUUUGACACGAGAAAA